This 393-nucleotide ribosomal RNA is filed under the name uncultured bacterium. Its description in RNAcentral is "partial 16S ribosomal RNA". It matches the Rfam family "Bacterial small subunit ribosomal RNA", at positions 355 to 766 of the family's 1533-position model. The record is from RNAcentral.
UGGGGAAUAUUGGACAAUGGGGGCAACCCUGAUCCAGCCAUGCCGCGUGAGUGAUGAAGGCCUUCGGGUUGUAAGGCUCUUUUGGCGGGACUGAUGAUGACGGUACCCGCAGAAUAAGCCCCGGCUAACUUCGUGCCAGCAGCCGCGGUAAGACGAAGGGGGCUAGCGUUGUUCGGAAUUACUGGGCGUAAAGCGAGUGUAGGCGGUUGCCGUAGUCAGGUGUGAAAGCCUUGAGCUCAACUCAAGAAAUGCACUUGAUACUGGGUGACUAGAGGACCGGAGAGGAUAGUGGAAUUCCCAGUGUAGUGGUGAAAUACGUAGAGAUUGGGAAGAACACCAGUGGCGAAGGCGGCUAUCUGGACGUUACUGACGCUAAGACUCGAAAGCGUGGGG